GCCCACCGCCCUUGCCGCCUCGGGGCUCAGGCCCUUGGCGCUGGAGGGCAGCACCUGGGUACAGAGCCGGAUGCGCGCGCUUCCAGGCCUGAAGUGCAGCAUCAGAGACUUCCAUUCUGUGAAAACCAGGCAAUUCACCCAUCAAGCCUGUGAAGAUGGUUGAAGCAGACGCUCUAAUGGCUGAAUGGCUAGACAAAGGCAGCCAUGAUAGGGUUCGCUCCUUUUGGCGGAAAAGCUCAUUGCUCUGACCUGACAUAAAGAUCAGUAAAUUACACCUGGGAUAAUUGGAAGAAACUGGACCUUCAACCACCAGAGGAGUUGUUCCUUGUCAGUCAAUGACAGCUGACAACUUUAGGCGAGAACCGUCAUAACCAGUGGCUUUUUUUAAAAAAUGAUUUUAAAAUUGUCGAUGGA
RNAcentral lists this long non-coding RNA (414 nucleotides) under Ictidomys tridecemlineatus (thirteen-lined ground squirrel). RNAcentral's name for it is "lncRNA (ENSSTOG00000033629.1)". Lineage: Eukaryota; Metazoa; Chordata; Mammalia; Rodentia; Sciuridae. The record is from RNAcentral.